This 503-nucleotide long non-coding RNA is filed under the name Hordeum vulgare. RNAcentral's name for it is "long non-coding RNA (HVUL_LNC018186)". Lineage: Eukaryota; Viridiplantae; Streptophyta; Magnoliopsida; Poales; Poaceae. The record is from RNAcentral.
ACAAUUUCAGAUUUGUACGUGCAGAGGUGCGCUUAGUAACGAUAGUUCUUGGCUUCAUUUACCGGAACAUCGUUAGGUCCUUACAUGAUCCUUAUUUGAUCAAAUUGCUGGUUAGUACUUUUACAGGAACAUGGAAACCAAAAUAUGUGCUCUGUAUCCAUUCUUAUCAUGUGUGUGCUCUCAAAAUCAAGCUUCAUGCUACAACGGCCAAUAUAACUUAAACCAACAAUCAUCUAAAGUUCUGAAGAUGCCUCACCAUGCAGUAUGUGUAGCUAACUGAAGAUAAAUUAAUGAUUUAUGUUCAUGUAUCCUUUUAAUACUGGUUCUUUUUUUCUGUUGAUGUUAUGCAAGCUGGAUUCAGCAGUUUUCUAUGGAUAAAAGUCAAUUGACAUGUCAAUAUACGCGAGCAUGUCUUUGCGUUUAGGAGUUGAGAAGACUUUGAGUGCACGCCAAGGGAAAGGUGAAUCAGUUGAUGUAGGUGAAUUUUCUUGAAAUGAAAGUGU